This 254-nucleotide ribosomal RNA is filed under the name uncultured bacterium. RNAcentral describes it as "partial 16S ribosomal RNA". It matches the Rfam family "Bacterial small subunit ribosomal RNA", at positions 524 to 776 of the family's 1533-position model. The record is from RNAcentral.
CACGUAGGCACCAAGCGUUGUCCGGAUUUAUUGGGCGUAAAGAGCUCGUAGGCGGUUGAGUAAGUCGGGUGUGAAAACUCUGGGCUUAACCCAGAGCCGCCACCCGAUACUGCUCUGACUUGAGUUCGGUAGGGGAGCAGGGAAUUCCUAGUGUAGCGGUGAAAUGCGCAGAUAUCAGGAGGAACACCGGUGGCGAAGGCGGGUCUCUGGGCCGAUACUGACGCUGAGGAGCGAAAGCGUGGGGAGCGAACAGG